AUGGUUUUCUGGCAAUGGGAUUGCUAUGAUCAGGAUUGUGUUUUUUCAGGGUGGGGCUCUUCCAGGCACACUUGGUUGGGUUGACCCCUCUGGUUUCCCCUGGUGUGGGAAACUCAGAUGCAUGGUUUUUGAUAGUGGGGGCUGUAUUUGAGCAGUUCUCUA
Molecule: small nuclear RNA, 162 nt
Organism: Protopterus annectens (West African lungfish)
Lineage: Eukaryota; Metazoa; Chordata; Ceratodontiformes; Protopteridae
Product: U1 spliceosomal RNA
Exons: 1
Source: RefSeq, a predicted model, not a curated record